RNAcentral lists this ribosomal RNA (497 nucleotides) under uncultured bacterium. RNAcentral's name for it is "partial 16S ribosomal RNA". It matches the Rfam family "Bacterial small subunit ribosomal RNA", at positions 28 to 507 of the family's 1533-position model. The record is from RNAcentral.
GACGAACGCUGGCGGCGUGCCUAAUACAUGCAAGUUGAGCGCUGAAGGUUGGUACUUGUUCCAACUGGAUGAGCAGCGAACGGGUGAGUAACGCGUGGGGAAUCUGCCUUUGAGCGGGGGACAACAUUUGGAAACGAAUGCUAAUACCGCAUAAAAACUUUAAACACAAGGUUUAAGUUUGAAAGAUGCAAUUGCAUCACUCAAAGAUGAUCCCGCGUUGUAUUAGCUAGUUGGUGAGGUAAAGGCUCACCAAGGCGAUGAUACAUAGCCGACCUGAGAGGGUGGUCGGCCACAUUGGGACUGGGACACGGCCCAAGCUCCUACGGGAGGCAGCAGUAGGGAAUCUUCGGCAAUGGACGAAAGUCUGACCGAGCAACGCCGCGUGGGUGAAGAAGGUUUUCGGAUCGGAAAACUCUGUUGGUAGGGAAGAACGUUGGUGGGAGUGGAAAGCUCAUCAAGUGACGGUAACUACCCAGAAAGGGACGGCUAACUACGUG